Molecule: long non-coding RNA, 785 nt
Organism: Tyto alba (common barn owl)
Lineage: Eukaryota; Metazoa; Chordata; Aves; Strigiformes; Tytonidae
Exons: 4
Source: RefSeq, a predicted model, not a curated record
GGCACUGAGCAUGGUUGUUGCCAGUGCAUCUGCUCUGGCAGUGAUGGAAAUUUCACAGGAGACUUUGCUACAUCUGCCCUGGACAGAUCAACCCCAGAUUUCUUAUUAGCUGUCCUGCUUCAUCAGAUCUGGUGCUGAGACGCAACCUUGGAGACCCUCCGGCGGGAAGAGGGGAAAGAAGGAAAGAACCACAUCUCUCUUGCAGCUGCAGUGACCUGUUCCCCUGGCAGGAGGGCGAGUCUGCUCCCCCGUUGGCAACUGAGCAGAUGCCCAGUGAGAUCCUCAGAGGCUGGUGAAGCUCCGCUGAUGCCCGUCUGGCUCUGGACUGACCUCAGUGGGACUGUGCUGGCUUCUGCCGGGAAAAAGGACCAAGGUUGUGAGCAGGAGUGGGCCGACACGGUUACUGUGGGAGUGCAGAGGGCCAUUUCCAUGGAAUUUCACCCCGAGAGGCCUGCUUCCCCUGGUCGCUUUUGAAGGCGAGCACGUGCUCCUCGGCGGCGGCCCCCGCUCGCUGAAGACGCUCGGCCUCUGCGCAAGGUUCUGCACGCGUGCAGGGCAGAGCCGGCGAGAGCCCAGGUAAUCUGCUCUGCCUCCGAAAGCCAUCCGGUCACCAGCCCUCGGCUACCCUUGACCCUGGCAGCAUCUUCAAAGGGAGCAUGGGCCUGCUGCGGAGCGUGCAAUGUUUGCUCGCUUAUCGGGCGAGCAGCUACCGCCUCCCUGCUUUGGGGGGUUUCGUCAGCCUCCUGCAGCACUCCAGGGGAGACCAGUCAGCCACCGCUGCUUGU